GGGCUUGCUUCGGCAGCACAAAUACUAAAACUAGAAAGAUACAGUGAAGAUUAGCAUGGCCCCUAUACAAGAUGACACACAAAUUUGUGAAGUGUUCCAUGUUUUU
RNAcentral lists this small nuclear RNA (106 nucleotides) under Vulpes vulpes (red fox). Lineage: Eukaryota; Metazoa; Chordata; Mammalia; Carnivora; Canidae. The record is from RNAcentral.